GACGAACGCUGGCGGCGUGCCUAAUACAUGCAAGUUGAGCGCUGAAGGUUGGUACUUGUACCAACUUGGUGAGCAGCGCACGGGUGAGUAACGCGUGUGAAAUCUGCCUUUGAGCGGGGUACAACAUUUGGACACGAAUGCUUAUACCGCAUAAAAACUUUAAACACAAUGUUUAAGUUUGAAAUAUGCAAUUUCAUCACUCAAAGAUGAUCCCUCGUUGUAUUAGCGAGGUGGUGAGGUAAAGGCUCACCAAGGCGAGGAUACAUAGCCGACCUGAGAGGGUGAUCGGCCAGGUUGGGAAGGAGACACGGCCAAAACGCCUCCGGGAGGCAGCAGAAGGGACUAUUCGGCACUGGACGGAAGUAUGACCGAGCAACGCCGAGUGAGUGAAGAAGGAUGUCGGAUCGGAAAAGUCUGUUGGUAGAGAAGAAAGUUGGUGAGAGUGGAAAGAUCAUCAAGUGACGGUAACUACUCAGAAAGGGACGGCUAACUACGUG
This 497-nucleotide ribosomal RNA is filed under the name uncultured bacterium. RNAcentral describes it as "partial 16S ribosomal RNA". It matches the Rfam family "Bacterial small subunit ribosomal RNA", at positions 28 to 507 of the family's 1533-position model. The record is from RNAcentral.